CGAGUUAAAAAUAAAUGUGCCCAGAGCACAUGAAGUACCCAAUAAAUGUAGCUAUUAAUAUUCUUGCGACUUUUACUUGGGGAUAUUGAGGCACAAAGUGUGAGCCAGGAAAGGGAAAAAUUCAGAAAAAGAAACCCCCUAGGGUUCACAUCUCUGCAUGCCCCAUGACAACGACACCUGGGCCCCUCUUCACUAGCUGCCUCUCUCGAUGUUCAAAUGGAGGGCUGAGAAGGGUCCCCCAGUCCCCUUCCCUCCUUAGCCACUCUCCUUUCUCGGAUCACACCACAUUUUUAUUUACGGGGAAGUCUGCUCCUAGGUCAUUCUGCAGUAAGAUAGUCCUCAUGCAAUCAGCAGGGUCUUGGGACGUAUGCUUCUGCAAAGUCCCCGGGUCCCCCAACAUGGCCCUGCUAAGGCCAUCCAGCCUGUGCUCAGGCCCCUCCGGGGAUGUGCAAAUUUGCGGAGACAGCCUACUCCUCUCCAGCACUUCUAUCUUCCUUCAGGUGACUGUCCAGGAGUUUUCAGUGGCAUUAGCUUUGAGCUCAGUGCCUCCUGAGAAGCAGCCCGGGCUGUCUGAUGGGAGCUGUUGCCCAGCUCCAGGCUGUUUCUGUGGUGCAGGCAGACAUGGCCAUCCAUCUUAUAGGCAGUCAGGAAUUAUUCACAGAAAGAAAGGUGUGAAUGGGCAGACAAAGACUCUCUGCAGGCUGAGAGCAUCCUCUGUGGGAGGUGGGUGGCAGCCUCUCCUAAUGGGCUGGAGCCCAUGGGGCAGGUCUGUUUUUGCCAAGACUCAUCGUCUUCAGGGCUCCCUUCGCCCAUCCUGACGGGGCUGCUAAUGCAUAGUCACUACGAGCUGUAUGUGUGUGUGUGACACCCUAUUGUGUGUCCACAGGUGCACGGCAGAGGGAAAAAGGCACAAUAUGGAGAGUCUUCUUUCUUUCUCCUAGUCUGUCAGCUGCAGGCCCUCCACCAAGCCUGGGGGAUAAGUCUGGAAGAAAUAUGGUUGGCAACAAUUAAGACUUUUUUAAGCGGAAAUACAAUUUGCGUUUUCCUUAGGGUGUGACAUCCAUGGCCAAGUGGGUGUCAGGCCUAGUGAGAGCUGCUGUUGAAUGCCCUUGUAAGGCCAGGCCAGUGCCUAAUCUCCUGUGUGUGCAGGACAAGUAGGGUCCGGUCCCUACUGGACCUGGUGGCUGCACUCCACGCUCUGGUGAGUCUGGGCAGUCUUAUCUUCCUGUUCCCUGGAGUGGAAACUGGGGACGAGUGGGAUUCAUUCCAGGCACCUGCAGAGUUGAGAGCAGAGAAACAGGCUUAGGACUCAGCCCCGCGGCCCCAGAGCCGGGGGCUCCUGCAGAGCGACAUGCAACCUGUGGGGGCUUGAGUCAAGAACCACAGUAGAUUACAGCUCAGAAAAAAACUCCUUGUCUAGUUCUGAGCAGACGCGUGCGAGGUGAAUCAGAGUGAACGUGGGAUUCUGUCCCGGGACAAUCUGUGAACUGUUCCACCA
Molecule: long non-coding RNA, 1498 nt
Filed under: Equus caballus (horse)
Lineage: Eukaryota; Metazoa; Chordata; Mammalia; Perissodactyla; Equidae
Description: lncRNA (ENSECAG00000057011.1)
Source: RNAcentral